RNAcentral lists this unclassified non-coding RNA (343 nucleotides) under uncultured Inocybe. Its description in RNAcentral is "sequence contains ITS1". The stretch from base 1 to 105 matches the Rfam family "5.8S ribosomal RNA", at positions 50 to 154 of the family's 154-position model. The record is from RNAcentral. Lineage: Eukaryota; Fungi; Basidiomycota; Agaricomycetes; Agaricales; Cortinariaceae.
GAAAUGCGAUAAGUAAUGUGAAUUGCAGAAUUCAGUGAAUCAUCGAAUCUUUGAACGCAUCUUGCGCUCCUUGGUAUUCCGAGGAGCAUGCCUGUUUGAGUGUCAUUUAACUUCUCAACCACAUACAUUGUCGGUGAUGUGGCUUGGAUGGUGGGGGUUUUCUCUGCAGGCCCUUCUUGUCUGCUCCCCUGAAAUGCAUUAGCGGUAUCUGAGCUGCUGCUGUAGGUGUGAUAAAUCUAUCUAUGCCUCUGGUAUGCUGCAUGAGCAGAUUGCACCGCUUCAAACGAUGUAACAACCUGACGAAUUUGACCUCAAAUCAGGUAGGACUACCCGCUGAACUUAA